Molecule: ribosomal RNA, 408 nt
Filed under: uncultured bacterium
Lineage: Bacteria
Description: bacterial SSU rRNA
Rfam family: Bacterial small subunit ribosomal RNA
Source: RNAcentral
UCGAGAAUAUUCCACAAUGGACGAAAGUCUGAUGGAGCGACGUCGCGUGCAGGAUGAAGGUAUUCGUAUUGUAAACUGCUUUUCUCAGGGAAGAAUUUCGAUGACGGUACCUGAGGAAUAAGAGGUUACUAACUCUGUGCCAGCAGUAGCGGUAAUACAGAGACCUCAAGCGUUAUCCGGAUUUAUUGGGCGUAAAGGGUGCGUAGGCGGAUAUAUGAGUCAGACGUCAAAUUCACGGGCUUAACCCGGGAACCGCGUUUGAAACGGUAUAUCUCGAGAAAGUGAGAGAUCAGUAGAACUCAUGGUGUAGUAGUGAAAUGCGUUGAUAUCAUGGGGAAUACCAAAGGCGAAGGCAUCUGAUUGGCACUUUUCUGACGCUGAGGCACGAAAGCGUGGGUAUCGAAUGGG